Molecule: long non-coding RNA, 2177 nt
Filed under: Amborella trichopoda
Lineage: Eukaryota; Viridiplantae; Streptophyta; Magnoliopsida; Amborellales; Amborellaceae
Description: long non-coding RNA (ATRI_LNC002518)
Source: RNAcentral
UAAACUCUUUAAGGUGGCACGCCACCUCUGAGAAUUUCUUCUUUCUAUCUCUCUUGAAGGUUACAUCUCUCUAAAGAGAGAUAGGGGACACGCCCCCAUAAGAAACUAUAGAGAUGGGCACCCCCUUCCCCUAAAAUUGCCCUAGGCAUUGAUGCCUUGGAUAGAUCAAAUAGUUAUAGUUAUCAUAUUUUUGCGAAGGGGUUUAGUUAGGGCUUUCUCAUAUUUGGAAGCUCCGAGAUUGACCAAUGAUUCCAUGCACUAUGGGAGGAGGAGACUCGAUGUGGGGUAUAUUAAGUCUGGUUGAGGUAAUUUUCGGGCAUCUUGCUUUAUGAUUUGUAAUAUUUUAUUUCUUAUUCUUAUAAACUAUUAUGUUAAUUUUAUUCAUUGAAUAAAGUAAGUUGUGAUUAGUGAUAACAAGUGAGACCCACUAUUGGUUAUUUACUUGUUUAUUUUGAAAUGAAUUUAUUGUAAUUGGACUAUUGUAAGUGUUCUAGUAGGUGUGAAAAGAAAAAAAUAAAAACUAUAUACACCGUGCUAGAUCACCUUAUCUAAUUUUCAUUGAUAUCAGAUAUAGAUUUACUUGCUGCCCUAUUUUUUUUAAUUCACUAUUUUUGGUGAGUUGGGAAUCAUAGAUAAGAAAGCUAAUGACUUUGUAGUCAAGUGAUAUACUUCGAAAAAAAUUAUUGGCAUGUUCAAACACUGAAAAAACACUCUGCAAAAUGGGGUAUUUUGUACUGUUUUGGAACAUUGAUAUGAAAAAGAUAAUAAAGUGUUUAUAUAAUGCAUAAUAUUUUGUGUUUUUUGGAGGGAUUUCUUACAAAAUUUCAAUGGGAAAUCCUAGGGGAAUUGAGAUUUAUGGACUCAUCGUUGAAGGAUAUCAGUCUUGAACGUACAAAAUCCAAGAACUGUCAAUUGAGUUCCGUGAAUUUUUCCACCAAUCAAAUGAUUUUAGUUUUAAUUAAAAUUUGACGAUAAGUCAUCAAAUUGAGUCUACUUUCAAAUAAAAAUAAUUUCAUAGAGAAAACCCUUGUGGCUUACAAGGUAUAGUUAUUUUAUUGAAGGGUAUACAAACACUAGUUUUUAUAAUGAAAAACUGUUUCAGUGACAUAAAAAUCAUGAUUUUAUUUCCAUUCUUAAAAGAAUGUUUUGGGGAGCAUAAUAAGUUUUUAGACUGCCAUUUUGAGUCUAGUUUUUAUUAAAAAUUAUUUGAGAGAAAUAUCCAUGAGAGAUAAGGAAUUAAAAUUUUAGAUUGGAGAGAAGUCAUAAUGAAUUCUACAGUUUAGUGUGUUUCAUUGAGAUGUGAAUAUCUAUAGUUUUCAAGCCUACCGAACAUAGUCAUAUGAGGCCUGUAGACAUAUACAUAUUAACGUUUUGUGUCUACUUUCAAAUAAAAUAAGUUUGAAAGUGAAAUUCUAUGAGGAUAGAGAGGAAAGGCAAUUUUGCUAGAUAGUGUUCAUCUUUAAAUUCUACAGUAUGACCUAUUUGUAAUAUAAAUAUAAACUAUUUGUUUCUAUAAAGAAAAAAUUAUUUAGGAUUCACAUUGUGAUUUCAAGGUUUGAUUUUGAACCUAGUUUUCAACAAAAAAGGUUUGAGGAAGAAAUCCUUUGUGAAUUGAGAGAAAUAAUUAUUUUAUUGAGAGAUGUGCAACCCAAUUUUUUGUUGACGUGAAUGUUACUAAAUUGUAGAAUCACUAAAUGGUAUUAUUUGGGGAUGACAUUGAGCACUACUCUGUAUUUUUUAGUCUAUUUCAAUACUCGAAAAGUUUCAGAUAUAAACUCUUUGUGAUUUGAGAGAUAUUGUAUUUUAUCAUGAGAUAUUCAUCUUUUGUUCUGCAGUAAAUUAAAAGAUAUGGCAAGUUAAGGCACAGCUUUGUACUCCUCAUAAUGGCAGUCUUUUUAUGGCCCAUUUAAAAGUCGUACAGUUUGCCAUGAGCAUGAUUUAUAACAGUAAAACUUCAAAGAGAGGUGAUACAAAGUUGGAGAGAUAUGACACGCUAUGUGAAGAGUGCUCAAUCUGAGAAUUGUAGAAAGAAGAAAAACACAAUACCUGUAAAAACAUCUUGGUAUCUAUUCAUUAUGAAGCAAUGUAUAGAAGCCUUAGUAGCAGCAUAGAAACCAUGCAAUCAGUAAAAAAUAAAAAAUCAAGAUAGUGAAUUUUGGUGUGACGAAAUAGAGAAG